AGCAUAUUGGUGGCGUCGGGUGUCUACGCCAGCAAGGCCAUUUUUGCCAUGCCAUAGCUAGGCUUUUUCUGCACUAGUGUUAUUUGUUACAUUCAAUAGAAUAACGUGGUUUCAUGACUAAACCGUUCUGUUCAUUCGAAUUUCUUGCUGCAGUUAUGUGUGUCUCCACAUUAAGGUGAUUAUAAUAUCAGAUUUCUCCUUGAAUUAUAAUUACAUUUUGUCCUAAUUCUUUGACCUGUAUAUUAGGUGCAACGUGUCCGAGUCAACAUGAUACUACUAGGGAAGUGCAAACGUGGAGACACGGAACUCGAGGAUAUUUCCAUUAGCGAUAUGCUUAUGAUAUGUGUAAAUGUGUGACCAUUCACUUUCAUUUGAAUAGGUAUUGUAAUCUAUGUUGCCUUGAAUUGCUAAAAUAAGUUAUUGUCUAAAUGUG
This 433-nucleotide long non-coding RNA is filed under the name Hordeum vulgare. Its description in RNAcentral is "long non-coding RNA (HVUL_LNC017284)". Lineage: Eukaryota; Viridiplantae; Streptophyta; Magnoliopsida; Poales; Poaceae. The record is from RNAcentral.